This 464-nucleotide ribosomal RNA is filed under the name uncultured Geobacteraceae bacterium. RNAcentral describes it as "partial 16S ribosomal RNA". It matches the Rfam family "Bacterial small subunit ribosomal RNA", at positions 338 to 794 of the family's 1533-position model. Lineage: Bacteria; Pseudomonadati; Thermodesulfobacteriota; Desulfuromonadia; Geobacterales; Geobacteraceae. The record is from RNAcentral.
CCUACGGGAGGCAGCAGGGGGGAAUUUUGCGCAAUGGGCGAAAGCCUGACGCAGCGACGCCGCGUGGAGGAUGAAGGCCUUCGGGUCGUAAACUCCUGUCUUGCGGGAAGAAAUGCAGGUGGUGAACAACCAUUCUGUUUGACGGUACCCUCAAAGGAAGCACCGGCUAACUCCGUGCCAGCAGCCGCGGUAAUACGGAGGGUGCGAGCGUUGUUCGGAUUUAUUGGGCGUAAAGCGCGUGUAGGCGGUUUGUUAAGUCUGAGGUAAAAGCCCCGGGCUCAACCUGGGAAGUGCAUUGGAUACUGGCAGACUUGAGUACGGGAGAGGAGAGUGGAAUUCCCAGUGUAGGAGUGAAAUCCGUAGAUAUUGGGAGGAACACCGGUGGCGAAGGCGGCUCUCUGGACCGAUACUGACGCUGAGACGCGAAAGCGUGGGGAGCAAACAGGAUUAGAUCCCCCGGUAGU